AUUGCAGGCUGCAACUCGCCUGCAUGAAGUUGGAAUUGCUAGUAAUCGCGGAUCAGCAUGCCGCGGUGAAUACGUUCCCGGGCCUUGUACACACCGCCCGUCACACCAUGGGAGUUGGGAGCGCCCGAAGCCGGUGAGGUAACCGAGAGGAGCCAGCCGUCGAAGGUGAGACCAAUGACUGGGGUGAAGUCGUAACAAGGUACC
Molecule: ribosomal RNA, 204 nt
Filed under: uncultured bacterium
Lineage: Bacteria
Description: partial 16S ribosomal RNA
Rfam family: Bacterial small subunit ribosomal RNA
Source: RNAcentral